RNAcentral lists this ribosomal RNA (116 nucleotides) under uncultured bacterium. RNAcentral describes it as "partial 16S ribosomal RNA". It matches the Rfam family "Bacterial small subunit ribosomal RNA", at positions 1357 to 1482 of the family's 1533-position model. The record is from RNAcentral.
AUACGGUGAAUACGUUCCCGGACCUUGUACACACCGCCCGUCAAGCCAUGGAAGCUGGGUGUACCUAAAGUCGGUAACCGUAAGGAGCCGCCUAGGGUAAACUAGUAACUGGGGCU